This 458-nucleotide ribosomal RNA is filed under the name uncultured bacterium. RNAcentral's name for it is "partial 16S ribosomal RNA". It matches the Rfam family "Bacterial small subunit ribosomal RNA", at positions 338 to 795 of the family's 1533-position model. The record is from RNAcentral.
CCUACGGGAGGCAGCAGUGAGGAAUAUUGGUCAAUGGGCGAGAGCCUGAACCAGCCAAGUCGCGUGAGGGAGUACUGCCCUAUGGGUUGUAAACCUCUUUUGUCGGGGAGCAAAAGCCGGACGUGUCCGGCUGUGAGAGUACCCGAAGAAAAAGCAUCGGCUAACUCCGUGCCAGCAGCCGCGGUAAUACGGAGGAUGCGAGCGUUAUCCGGAUUUAUUGGGUUUAAAGGGUGCGCAGGCGGAUUUUUAAGUCAGCGGUAAAAUCGUGGGGCUCAACCCCAUCCAGCCGUUGAAGCUGGGGAUCUAGAGUGUGCUAGAGGUAUGCGGAAUGCGUGGUGUAGCGGUGAAAUGCAUAGAUAUCACGCAGAACCCCGAUUGCGAAGGCAGCAUACCGGUGCACAACUGACGCUCAGGCACGAAAGCGUGGGUAUCGAACAGGAUUAGAUACCCCUGUAGUC